UCCCUCCCUUCCCCAGGCCUCAGGCUCUGCCUGCCAAGCGACUCCUUCCUGGAUUCCCCAGGUGCUUCCUGACUUUGCAGUCCUUCAGUCUGAUGCAGGGCCGCUAGGCCCUGGAGUCCAAGGGUCAGGAGGGAGCCUGAAGCUUGUUACCCACGGCUGCGGCUGCGAAACAGUCUGAGUCACCGGCUACAGUUUUCGGGAACCAGCCCCAGCCGGCAGCUGGGUUAGGACAUGAUCCAGAAGCAGGGACCUCCAAUGUGACCUCAUCACCAAAAGUGAUCCGUGCCCUGCCAUCACCCGGAGGAGAAGGCUGCACAUGAAGGUCAAUCUCUACAUUCAGCCUCCUUAGCCCAGGGUUGCCCAAACCCAAGGACUGACUGACUUGUGCACCGUGAAGAUGAAGGGCCUCCUCAGAUGACUGGUACCCAGGGAGUCCCUCAUCCUCCAGCCAUGUAGCAGGGAGUCACACACAGCCUUCACCCUUGAGUCACCCCGCUCAUGGGUGGUCAGUCAGGCCCUGGCCUCAGCUGCAGACGAAGACACGGAUCCCGAGUUCGCAGGCCUGCCCCGGUCGGUGAGCACAAGAGCAGCAGACGGAGGAGGUUGUGCACCCACAGCCCGUGGACGCUGCCUAGAGCCGGGUGAGGUGACAGGCAGGGGCUGGGGAUGAGAGCCCCCUGCCUCUAGCACCCACUGGCAGUCCCCAGACCCCAACUCUGGCCCUCAGAGGUCAGUGGACCUCAGCCCAGGGUCACACUGUUGCCACUGGUUGUUGAGGGGAAGCCAGGUGGCAUCUGUAUCCCACUCAGCUGGCACACGGUGUGGAAAGCGCUCCGUUGGACCUGAGCAGGCACACAAUGGUGUCUGUCGCAUGGUGUCUGCCCAAGUUGGUGUCCAGUGAGGGAAGAAAUCCACGCCAAGGCAGAGAGGGAAGACAUCAGGAAGCAGAGGGCAAGGCUGAGAAGCACAGCCCGCCAAAAUGAUAGGUGUUCCUGGAAGGAAGCUCGGUUUCUCCUCAUCAUCUGAAAGGCUUCCAGCAGAGUCGGAUGUGGAUGUCCUGUGCUCCCGGAGGCUUGCACCUGCCCAGGGCUGCCGGUGGGCAGGAGGGCAAUCCCACCAGACCUGAAGCCCACGGCUGAGCAUCACCAACCAGUCCUGGCCUUUGACCUCUAAGGCCAUCACUUUCUUCUGUCCCAAGUCCAAUGGCCCUUGAGGAAAUCGUGUCCCCAUAGCCCUCUCCAAGACAGAGCCCCUAGGCCAAGCCCCUUGGACCCGAGUGUGUUGUUCCAAAUCCUAGCCCCCUAGGUCAGUGAAACUACUCAGCUCAUAGCAUAAACGGCACCUGCUGUUGUUCAUGGUUCCGUUGGAGCCUCCAGCUCACCCCUGCAUGAUCUGGAAAGCCCCAUCCCUGUCUCUCUCUCCAAACCCCUGCCCCUCAGAGAGUUUCCAAACAAAGGGAAGGCGCUAAAAAGCCCAGUUCCUAAUUCUUGGCUGCUACUGAGCUUCCUUCCCUGAAGUUACCAGCCACCCAAGUCUCCACCUAAGCACUCAGUUUUUUUGUUUUUAUUUUUUUUUAAACCACACUUGGGCAUAAAUCCAGCUCAUGUUGGACACGUCAUCAUCCCUUGCCUACAACCUAUAAAGUCUCCCUGAUUUAGUUUGGGACUGUGACUCCUCUAGCUUUGAUCUCUGGGACCGGAGAACCCACGCAGGGGUUGCUUUGCACAAAUAAACCUGUUGUUACACUUUUUCAA
Peromyscus leucopus (white-footed mouse) is the source of this 1754-nucleotide long non-coding RNA. RefSeq lists it as uncharacterized. The transcript has 2 exons. Lineage: Eukaryota; Metazoa; Chordata; Mammalia; Rodentia; Cricetidae. The record is from RefSeq and is a predicted model, not a curated record.